Molecule: transfer RNA, 76 nt
Filed under: Chloroflexota bacterium
Lineage: Bacteria; Bacillati; Chloroflexota
Description: Chloroflexi bacterium tRNA-Met
Rfam family: tRNA
About the family: Transfer RNA (tRNA) molecules are approximately 80 nucleotides in length. Their secondary structure includes four short double-helical elements and three loops (D, anti-codon, and T loops).
Source: RNAcentral
UGUCGGAGUGGCGCAGUGGUAGCGCGUUCGGCUCAUACCCGAAAGGCCGGAGGUUCAACUCCUCCCUCCGCAACCA